AGAGUUUGAUCAUGGCUCAGGACGAACGCUGGCGGCGUGCCUAAUACAUGCAAGUCGAGCGGACUUUUGGGAGCUUGCUCCCAAAAGUUAGCGGCGGACGGGUGAGUAACACGUGGGCAACCUGCCUAUAAGACUGGGAUAACUUCGGGAAACCGGAGCUAAUACCGGAUAAUUCCUUCCCUCACAUGAGGGAAGGUUGAAAGGCGGCUUCGGCUGUCACUUAUAGAUGGGCCCGCGGCGCAUUAGCUAGUUGGUGAGGUAACGGCUCACCAAGGCGACGAUGCGUAGCCGACCUGAGAGGGUGAUCGGCCACACUGGGACUGAGACACGGCCCAGACUCCUACGGGAGGCAGCAGUAGGGAAUCUUCCGCAAUGGACGAAAGUCUGACGGAGCAACGCCGCGUGAGUGAUGAAGGUUUUCGGAUCGUAAAACUCUGUUGUUAGGGAAGAACAAGUACGAGAGUAACUGCUCGUACCUUGACGGUACCUAACCAGAAAGCCACGGCUAACUACGUGCCAGCAGCCGCGGUA
RNAcentral lists this ribosomal RNA (531 nucleotides) under uncultured Bacillota bacterium. RNAcentral describes it as "bacterial SSU rRNA". It matches the Rfam family "Bacterial small subunit ribosomal RNA", at positions 8 to 522 of the family's 1533-position model. Lineage: Bacteria; Bacillati; Bacillota. The record is from RNAcentral.